AUUGAACGCUGGCGGCAUGCCUUACACAUGCAAGUCGGACGAGUGGCGAACGGGUGAGUAACGCAUCGGCACGUCCCUAGUCAUGCGGGAUAACUGUCCGAAAAGACAGCUAAUACCGCAUAUUCUUCGAUCGGCCGAUGUCUGAUUAGCUGGUUGGCGGGGUAAAGGCCCACCAAGGCGACGAUCCGUAGCGGGUCUGAGAGGAUGAUCGGCCACACUGGGACUGAGACACGGCCCAGACUCCUACGGGAGGCAGCAGUGGGGAAUAUUGGACAAUGGGCGAAAGCCUGAUCCAGCCAUGCCGCGUGUCUGAAGAAGGUCUGCGGGUUGUAAAGGACUUUUGUCAGGGAAGCGGUACCUGAAGAAUAAGCACCGGCUAACUACGUGCCAGCAGCCGCGGUAAUUC
Molecule: ribosomal RNA, 406 nt
Filed under: uncultured bacterium
Lineage: Bacteria
Description: partial 16S ribosomal RNA
Rfam family: Bacterial small subunit ribosomal RNA
Source: RNAcentral